Molecule: non-coding RNA, 132 nt
Organism: Vicugna pacos (alpaca)
Lineage: Eukaryota; Metazoa; Chordata; Mammalia; Artiodactyla; Camelidae
Source: RefSeq, a predicted model, not a curated record
UCCUUCCCCAGAUGGCAGAGGGGGCACCUUUCACGUGAGAGAUUUAUUUCCUGCUUUCAGGGAGACAGAAAGGAGGGUGAGAGUGUCCCUCUUGCAUUGACCAUUUCUUAAGCAACUUUAAUUUAAAAUAAU